CACGUCAGCGCGCUUUUGCUGACGUAGCAGCAAAUCGCGUCCUAGAGGGCGUGAUUUGUUGCCACGUCAGCAAAGCGUGCUGACAUGG
This is a microRNA precursor of Gossypium raimondii (Peruvian cotton), 88 nucleotides long. It matches the Rfam family "MIR7486 microRNA precursor family". NCBI's taxonomy places the organism in Eukaryota, Viridiplantae, Streptophyta, Magnoliopsida, Malvales, Malvaceae. The record is from Rfam.